RNAcentral lists this ribosomal RNA (465 nucleotides) under Vreelandella stevensii. Its description in RNAcentral is "partial 16S ribosomal RNA". It matches the Rfam family "Bacterial small subunit ribosomal RNA", at positions 338 to 795 of the family's 1533-position model. Lineage: Bacteria; Pseudomonadati; Pseudomonadota; Gammaproteobacteria; Oceanospirillales; Halomonadaceae. The record is from RNAcentral.
CCUACGGGAGGCUGCAGUGGGGAAUAUUGGACAAUGGGCGAAAGCCUGAUCCAGUCAUGCCGCGUGUGUGAAGAAGGCCUUCGGGUUGUAAAGCACUUUCAGUGGGGAAGAAAGCCUUGGGGCUAAUACCCUCGAGGAAGGACAUCACCCACAGAAGAAGCACCGGCUAACUCCGUGCCAGCAGCCGCGGUAAUACGGAGGGUGCGAGCGUUAAUCGGAAUUACUGGGCGUAAAGCGCGCGUAGGCGGUCUGAUAAGCCGGUUGUGAAAGCCCCGGGCUCAACCUGGGAACGGCAUCCGGAACUGUCAGGCUAGAGUGCAGGAGAGGAAGGUAGAAUUCCCGGUGUAGCGGUGAAAUGCGUAGAGAUCGGGAGGAAUACCAGUGGCGAAGGCGGCCUUCUGGACUGACACUGACGCUGAGGUGCGAAAGCGUGGGUAGCAAACAGGAUUAGAUACCCUGGUAGUC